RNAcentral lists this ribosomal RNA (253 nucleotides) under uncultured bacterium. RNAcentral's name for it is "partial 16S ribosomal RNA". It matches the Rfam family "Bacterial small subunit ribosomal RNA", at positions 524 to 776 of the family's 1533-position model. The record is from RNAcentral.
GACGUAGGGCGCGAGCGUUGUCCGGAUUUAUUGGGCGUAAAGAGCUCGUAGGCGGCUUGUCGCGUCGAAUGUGAAAACCCGGGGCUCAACUCCGGGCUUGCAUUCGAUACGGGCAGGCUAGAGUUCGGUAGGGGAGUCUGGAAUUCCUGGUGUAGCGGUGAAAUGCGCAGAUAUCAGGAGGAACACCGGUGGCGAAGGCGGGACUCUGGGCCGAUACUGACGCUGAGGAGCGAAAGCGUGGGGAGCGAACAGG